Molecule: long non-coding RNA, 219 nt
Organism: Alligator sinensis (Chinese alligator)
Lineage: Eukaryota; Metazoa; Chordata; Crocodylia; Alligatoridae
Exons: 3
Source: RefSeq, a predicted model, not a curated record
CCCAUGUACCUUCCACCUGUGACCCCUGCACCCUCCAUCGUGUGCUGUUACUGCAGUGGCCAUAGCUCCCGAUGACAGCUACAGCAUCACCAUAAUGAACCACGACCAAAAGUCCAAGGGCAGCAGGAUGCUGCCUGCCGGACCCGACACCCAGGAGAACUUUCAUGGGCGGAACUCGCUGGGGCCAGCAACCAGCCCACAGCCCAGUGAUGAGACAGC